Molecule: small RNA, 98 nt
Filed under: Salmonella enterica subsp. enterica serovar Muenchen
Lineage: Bacteria; Pseudomonadati; Pseudomonadota; Gammaproteobacteria; Enterobacterales; Enterobacteriaceae
Also listed under: 2 other names
Description: partial RtT sRNA
Rfam family: RtT RNA
About the family: This family represents a bacterial cis-regulatory element known as RtT RNA. The exact function of RtT is unknown although it is thought that it may be involved in changing the cellular response in relation to amino acid starvation.
Source: RNAcentral
UGAGAACCUCCGGGGGCAAGAGGUUCGACUCGAGCGAAGCGAGAGAACGUUGCGUCAGCAACGGCCCGCAGUGGCAAGUCAUCCUCUGUCACCGGCAG